UCGUAAUAAUAGAAACAAAACUCUGUAGCCACGUGCUUGCCGAGUACAGAGGUUGCUCGUAUCUGUCAUCCGCAUUCCAAGGUCGUGGCCCAGCCCUCGCAUCCCAGCUGCUGGUUUCACGAAGGAGUUUGUGUUUGAAUUCACGAUAUAGACGGCUGCCUUCCACCGGUUUCACCCGUCACUAGUAUUUGCAACCUGUCUCAACAAAAAUACACCAUGUCUCGCACGGUGGUCUUUUGCCUGCUGUUUGUCACUGUUGGCUUCGCUACUGCGGCGUCACUCAGAGGAAACAACAGACCAAGGUUCUGCUACCUGCCUCCAGAUAGUGGUCUGUGUUAUGGCCACUUUCCGUCAUACCACUACUCGCAUCAAAGAGGUGACUGCGUGCAGUUCGUCUAUGGGGGAUGUCAAGGAAACAGAAACCGGUUCAAUUCCUACCAGGAGUGCAUUCGCAUCUGUCGAACCUAAGCGUAUUACUUUCAGGAGGAUAGAAUCUUGCUCACCAAAGAUAUCGUUCCGCACUAUCGGUUCUUCGAGACAGUGCCCAUUUACUGGAUCCUGAGCAUUGUGUGCGUUGAGCUGUAAUCACAUCGUACCGUGGAUAUCCUCACCGUUACAGCGCGAGCUCUCUGGAUAUUUACUUUCUAAUAAAGCCUGUAGAGAUAUGCUACAAAAAGCCUA
Ornithodoros turicata is the source of this 681-nucleotide long non-coding RNA. RefSeq lists it as uncharacterized. The transcript is spliced from 3 exons. The record is from RefSeq and is a predicted model, not a curated record. NCBI's taxonomy places the organism in Eukaryota, Metazoa, Arthropoda, Arachnida, Ixodida, Argasidae.